This is a long non-coding RNA of Homo sapiens (human), 768 nucleotides long. RefSeq lists it as uncharacterized. The record is from RefSeq and is a predicted model, not a curated record. The transcript has 3 exons. NCBI's taxonomy places the organism in Eukaryota, Metazoa, Chordata, Mammalia, Primates, Hominidae.
GUAAAAUUGACUAUACUCAAAGCUUGAAUAGUCCCCCAGACAUUAGUGUUAUAAAUUAAUGAUUAGAAAUAUAAUUCCUUGUAUACGUCUUUCUGCCAUCGCAUCUUUCAAAUGCAAAGUCAGUAUGGAAUAAGAAUCAGAGAAAUGUAACCUGACAUUGAACUUGAAACCAAACACAUUGACAAAACAAAAGAACACAAGCAGAAAAAAAGAAAAGGGAACUUUGAAAAUCAUCUUCAUAAGGCAUUCUGAAUCUGCAACAAUCUAUUUUUCCAGAUUAACAAAUCUUGGUCUCUUCUAGGUGUUUUGAACUAGAUUACUGACUGGCCAUCUGUGGCAGGCCCACUCCUGGAUGUCAUGCCCCUGUUAAUGAAAUCUGGGCGUGCGCUCGUAAACAGACCUGGUGAAUGGUAGACGUCAGCCAUUGCGUGAUGGACAAUCAUCAAUCAUCCAUUGUCAGUUAUUUCUGUCCCAAGACAGGGUCUCUCUAUGUUGCCCAGGCUGGAGUGCAGUGACUAUUCACAGGUGCAAUCAGAGCUCAUCAUAGUCUCCAAACUCCUGCUCUCAAGUGAUCUUCCUGCCUCAGCUUACGUAGUAGUGGAGACAGCAGGAGACCCACAGGUUUUUGAGAAUGUUAUACCAACAUUACCAGUUAUAUAAACACUGCCAGCUUGAAUCAAAAGGAAUAAAGGAUGAAUGGAGGAAGAUUGUUUUACUCCCCAAAUUCUACAAGCAAGAAACUGGCUGAUGAAACUACUCAGCUGCAAA